CAAAGCAUAGCUUAAUUAGUAAAGCAUCUCCCUUACACCGAGAAACUGUCCAUGCAACUUGGACUGCCUUGA
This 72-nucleotide transfer RNA is filed under the name Syngnathus temminckii (longsnout pipefish). Its description in RNAcentral is "tRNA-Val". It matches the Rfam family "tRNA". From Rfam's summary of the family: Transfer RNA (tRNA) molecules are approximately 80 nucleotides in length. Lineage: Eukaryota; Metazoa; Chordata; Actinopteri; Syngnathiformes; Syngnathidae. The record is from RNAcentral.